CGGGCGUGCUCAUCGAUCACGAAGGCGAAAAUGACCUCAUGGGUCCCCAGCAGGGGGAUGAGCGUCAAUGUGGACUUGGCAAGUCUGGGGGAAGGAGAGGCUGAGGGUUCCCAGCGCAGAAGCUCAGUCAAAACACCUGCACUUGAUGUCCGUCUUGCACAUGAGAUUCGCUUUCAGUUUGGACACCACGAUGCAGAUAACCCGGAUGAAGAUGAGGAAGUUCACCUGCAGGUCACAUGGAUAAGUGGCUUAUGCCUACUCUUCCAUAGUCCUUCCCCCAGCACCCUUCAUAAUUGUCACUUACCCCAAUGGCAAAGAGAAUGGGCAGCCGGAUAAUCA
This is a long non-coding RNA of Erinaceus europaeus (western European hedgehog), 339 nucleotides long. RefSeq lists it as uncharacterized. The record is from RefSeq and is a predicted model, not a curated record. The transcript has 2 exons. Lineage: Eukaryota; Metazoa; Chordata; Mammalia; Eulipotyphla; Erinaceidae.